AUUGGACGCUGGCGGCAUGCCUUACACAUGCAAGUCGAACGGCAGCACGGGGCAACCUGGUGGCGAGUGGCGAACGGGUGAGUAAUGCAUCGGAACGUGCCAUUGAGUGGGGAAUAACGUAGCGAAAGUUGCGCUAAUACCGCAUAUUCUGUGAGCAGGAAAGCAGGGGGACCGCAAGGCCUUGCGCUCUUUGAGCGGCCGAUGUCAGAUUAGCUAGUUGGUGAGGUAACGGCUUACCAAGGCGACGAUCUGUAGCGGGUCUGAGAGGAUGAUCCGCCACACUGGAACUGAGACACGGUCCAGACUCCUACGGGAGGCAGCAGUGGGGAAUUUUGGACAAUGGGCGCAAGCCUGAUCCAGCCAUGCCGCGUGAGUGAAGAAGGCCUUCGGGUUGUAAGCUCUUCGCCGGGAAGAAUACGCAUGGUUAAUACCCUCGUGUGGAGUGACGGUACCGGAA
RNAcentral lists this ribosomal RNA (457 nucleotides) under uncultured bacterium. RNAcentral describes it as "bacterial SSU rRNA". It matches the Rfam family "Bacterial small subunit ribosomal RNA", at positions 30 to 483 of the family's 1533-position model. The record is from RNAcentral.